This 253-nucleotide ribosomal RNA is filed under the name uncultured bacterium. RNAcentral describes it as "partial 16S ribosomal RNA". It matches the Rfam family "Bacterial small subunit ribosomal RNA", at positions 524 to 776 of the family's 1533-position model. The record is from RNAcentral.
UACGUAGGGUGCAAGCGUUAUCCGGAAUUAUUGGGCGUAAAGAGCUCGUAGGCGGUUUGUCGCGUCUGCUGUGAAAACCCGAGGCUCAACCUCGGGCCUGCAGUGGGUACGGGCAGACUAGAGUGCGGUAGGGGAGAUUGGAAUCCCUGGUGUAGCGGUGGAAUGCGCAGAUAUCAGGAGGAACACCGGUGGCGAAGGCGGGUCUCUGGGCCACUACUGACGCUGAGAAGCGAAAGCAUGGGGAGCGAACAGG